RNAcentral lists this ribosomal RNA (360 nucleotides) under Triticum aestivum (bread wheat). RNAcentral describes it as "partial small subunit ribosomal RNA". Lineage: Eukaryota; Viridiplantae; Streptophyta; Magnoliopsida; Poales; Poaceae. The record is from RNAcentral.
AUGGGAUUUGAGGUGGAUUUCCUAGGAGAGCGAGUAGGAAGGGUGAUGGUGGGGUUCAUGGGGAAGGUGAAGAAGCAGAAGGUGAUCCACGGCCCGCACGCGACGCCGAGCCACCACGGGCCUCCUCCCCUGCCGCUCGCCGCCAUGCCGGGACGGCGUACUGGGCCUUGCCGGAAGCCGAGGACAAGCGAGACAAUGGCCAUCCACCCUGGGCCAAGGACAAGCACAGAGCGACCAGCGGAGAUAACUAUGCUCGGGCAGAUGGAUCCCGCCGCGGCGGAGUUCGAGGAGAACAGUAGCUGUGAUGACUCAACAAGAUGGAAGUGCGGGACAAGGGAUGAGUGCAAUCGGCUCAGGUAA